GUUCCUUCGGGGGGGCGSWGCAGUAGGGAAUCUUCCGCAAUGGGCGAAAGCCUGACGGAGCAAUGCCGCGUGAGUGAUGAAGGUUUUCGGAUCGUAAAGCUCUGUUGCCAGGGAAGAACGCUUGGGAGAGUAACUGCUCUCAAGGUGACGGUACCUGAGAAGAAAGCCCCGGCUAACUACGUGCCAGCAGCCGCGGUAAUACGUAGGGGGCAAGCGUUGUCCGGAAUUAUUGGGCGUAAAGCGCGCGCAGGCGGUCAUUUAAGUCUGGUGUUUAAUCCCGGGGCUCAACCCCGGAUCGCACUGGAAACUGGGUGACUUGAGUGCAGAAGAGGAGAGUGGAAUUCCACGUGUAGCGGUGAAAUGCGUAGAUAUGUGGAGGAACACCAGUGGCGAAGGCGACUCUCUGGGCUGUAACUGACGCUGAGGCGCGAAAGCGUGGGGAGCAAACAGGAUUAWCCCSCCGGKGARAKCMAUG
This 475-nucleotide ribosomal RNA is filed under the name Paenibacillus mobilis. Its description in RNAcentral is "bacterial SSU rRNA". The record is from RNAcentral. Lineage: Bacteria; Bacillati; Bacillota; Bacilli; Caryophanales; Paenibacillaceae.